CCGAGUUUACAACUCCCAAACCCCUGUGAACAUACCUAUACGUUGCCUCGGCGGAUCAGCCCGCGCCCCGUUAAAACGGGACGGCCCGCCCGAGGACCCCUAAACUCUGUUUUUAGUGGAACUUCUGAGUAAAACAAACAAAUAAAUCA
RNAcentral lists this unclassified non-coding RNA (149 nucleotides) under soil metagenome. RNAcentral's name for it is "partial internal transcribed spacer 1". The record is from RNAcentral.